This 345-nucleotide unclassified non-coding RNA is filed under the name soil metagenome. RNAcentral describes it as "partial contains 5.8S ribosomal RNA, internal transcribed spacer 2, and large subunit ribosomal RNA". The stretch from base 1 to 120 matches the Rfam family "5.8S ribosomal RNA", at positions 35 to 154 of the family's 154-position model. The record is from RNAcentral.
GAUGAAGAACGUAGCGAAAUGCGAUAAGUAAUGUGAAUUGCAGAAUUCCGUGAAUCAUCGAAUCUUUGAACGCACAUUGCGCCCUCUGGUAUUCCGGGGGGCAUGCCUGUCCGAGCGUCAUUUGCAACCCUCAAGCCCGGCUUGUGUGAUGGGUGCCGUCCCCUACGGGACGCGCCCCGAAGGCAAUGGUGGCGUCGCGGUUAUCCGAUCAGCCAAAGUGUAUGGGGCUUUGUCACUCACUUUACGGCCCGGACCGGCGCCAGUCCGAAUCAAUCUUUUUUCUAAAGUUGACCUCGGAUCAGGCAGGGAUACCCGCUGAACUUAAGCAUAUCAAUAAGCGGAGGA